This is a long non-coding RNA of Lagopus leucura (white-tailed ptarmigan), 4513 nucleotides long. RefSeq lists it as uncharacterized. Lineage: Eukaryota; Metazoa; Chordata; Aves; Galliformes; Phasianidae. The transcript is spliced from 3 exons. The record is from RefSeq and is a predicted model, not a curated record.
UUGUUUUUCUUUUUUCAUUUGCUCUCAGCAAGUACACAAAGUCUUGCUGUAGCUACCUGUGGCAAGACACAGAUGUUGCUGAAGUAAAGACAGUUUCUUUGGCCACUUUGUUCUCUUUAAUUACAAGCAAGUCUCUGUCUUAUGUGUCUACCACAACAUCAUCUCACAACCUGUACAGGUCAAUGCCACGCUCAUUUUUAGGACAAACGCGUCCUAGUAACUGUAUUUGUUCAGUGGUCUGACUGAUGUUGUUUGAGGAACAAAUGAGGGUUUUGGUGGCACAUCAGGUUUUAACGAGGGUGUCCUCUUUAUUCCUGUACGAGGAAGAGUGCCAUUGCUUGUGUAACUGCUUUGCCUGGACAAGGAAGGCUGGAGGUGAACGCUGACAGGCGUUCCUUGCAUGUAGUCCAUCUUUGUGCCUGCUGUGGGCGUCACAUAACCCCCCCGAUUAAUACUGGGCUGUCUGGAUAACAAAACACCAUUUGGUGAGUUUAAGUUUUUAGGAAGGGCAGAUAUUGAAUGCCUUUGUGAAGAAUUUUUGUGAUAACCUCUCUGCCUUUCCAAAGAGGUCAUCGGUACUGCAGGUGUGGUGGGAACGUCCACUCGUUUUGUGGGGCUGUUUCUCGGAAGAGUUGAUGGUGGAGAGUAUAAAGAUGCCUCCCUGUUGGGAACUUUAGGUGGGAUCUCAGACAUAUUUCCCAUUGGAUCCAGCAUUAAAGUCUGGUGGGCCACUUGAAUAUCUCCCAUAAUUGCUUUUGGAUUACUAGUAGUUUCAUUUAAGUGCUUCAGAAAAUCAUUCAGGGUGUUCCUGGAAUCAACAGACCUCCUGUGGUCUCUUUUGCUGGAUGGUUUUGUAAGUGGAUGAUCAAUAUGUUGCAUCUUCUUGUCUGCCUUGUGCGCAUUAGAAUUUGAGAAAGACGUGUUGUAAUCAUGAGUAGCAUUGGGAAGAACGAUAGCACUAGGGAUAUGUCCAUGACUCAGAGGAGAGUGAGGUGGAGGACUGGAAGGAAAAAACUGAGGGCUUUUUAGUGGGGUUUCCUUUCGUGAAGCAUUGAGAUUACUGUGUGCUUUGUCCGACUGACUUUUCAUGGCUUGCAGAGUCUUUUGCUGAAGAACUGGUGUGGAUUCAGGAGUGGGAAGCGCAGCUAAUUCCGGAGGCUGGCCCCUGUGGUCCAUCAUCAUGGACUUCAUAUCACCAUUUGGUGGCAAUUCCUUUCUGCUGGUCAGCAGCAGCAGAUUGUUCUGAUGUUUGACAUUCAGGAAGAAGUGUAUUUGUAGAAGAAUUAGACUGUAUCACUGACGUCACUACAGUGGAAUUGUGAUGUUCACUCAAGCAAAAUGGCAAAUAACCAAAUAUUUUCAGGUUAUUCAACAUGAGAGACAUUGUGAAAUGACAAACAAGCAAUGAAGUUGGCAUUAAUGAAUUAGUUCUGGUUCACUAUCAUUUUUGUUUACCUUGGUACUAAACUAGAUAAAAAGCUACAUAUUUCACGUGUUCUCAUAAUACUUACUUUGCGUGGUUAUAUGCUUCAAUCUCUUCCAGUAACACACUGUCAUUCAAAGAGAAAGGUCUGGUCUUUGCCAAGAUUUUAAGUACUACUCCUGCUUCAGAGCCAACAAAUAUGACUGUGUAGUUCUGAUGUGGUCCAGCAGCGUGGUCUACAGCAAUUGCUGUCAAUCUGUAUCUAUCAAGGCCAAAAGACAAACCAUUAACAAACAGCGUGCUUUCUUCUUUCCACAUGCUUCAUUUUUUGAAUGAUGUCAUACCUGACGCGUGUUUUGGUAAACCAAGGCUCCUCAAUGAUUGAGGGAACAGCUGAAUCCAUCAAAGGAUGAGAUUUGAUGAAGGACAAUGUUUCGUCUGGGAAAUCAAUGGAGGUUUUGUAAGCUUCUGCUAGGCCAUGUUUUGCACAGCAGCCAGGUCUGAAAGGAGAACAACACUGUUUUUUCUCCUCUUGGUAUUUCAGUUAAUGAGAGAAGGCAGCCUGCUAAUGAGCAUCCUUAUGGUUGAAGAGUAAAGCUCUGCUUGCUUUAUUUUUUUUUUUUUAACCAAUACAACACUCAAGAGUGCAGCUGAUUUAAAGUAUCUCUUUAUAAGGACAACUUUAUAGUACCAUGAGGAAAAACUUCUUACCUUGGCUUUGGUACCUUGUCUUCAGGUACAGCUGUCCAAACAGAGUCAGGAGUUUUUUGUUCUUUAAAUCUCCCUUUGAAGACCUUCUCAAUGUCAUCCAUGCUGAAAGCACACACUGCUGAACCAGGGAUGCUGUAAAAUAAGAAAAAGAGUCGCAAGAACUCAGCCUACAAUAGCACCAAUCUCAGUGCAAGAGAGAACCAGAGAACUACCUUUGAAGUAAAGUUGCUCAUCUCUCACCUGUUGAGCUGUGUAGUGAAUACACCGACGACUGUGGGGAUUCCAUUGAUUUCUAUUAUGUCUGUGAUAGACUGCAGAACAUCAAAGUAGAAGAACGAAUCCCCAGGAACGGAGCAGUUGAGCCGAGCUUUCAGAAAGGAUGUCCAAUGUUUUUCCAGGACUCUCUGGGAACCCCCCAUGUCAUUUUUGCAUAUGCGUGCCACACGGGAAUACACGGCCUGUGAAGGGUGGAAAAAUGGAAACGGAAGGAAGGGCUGAGAGAUUCAAGGGCAAAAGUGCUUGUUUCUGAGCCGUUAAUAAAACACUGCAGAUAAUUUUAACAGGAUACAGUUGCCACUUAUCUGUGCAGAAAGGAAGAAAGCGAACAAUGUUUAGCUGCUAGUGCAUAGGCAUCUUAAUGAAUCGCCAAGCAAAUGCAACUCCGCCAGCUUGUCGCCACCUUUUUUCCAUUCAAAAUCAUAUUGUUAGUGAGAUUUAAAGACUUUAAUUAAUCACGUGUGAAGAAGUUAAUAAUUCAUUAUAGAAUAUCCUUCCACGGUGAGGCAUUAGCAUUAUACUCUGCAGUGGUAUGACUGAAUUAUUCAAUAUCUACGGACAUUAGAGAAACUUCUUUGAAACUCUUCUUUUGUGUUCUUUUGUUUCUUUUAUAAGCAUGGAAAAAAAACCCACCCAGAUAUUCCAUUAACUGUCACAUGUGUUAAGGCAACAGCUACACUAAAAGAUACCUGCAUAGGGCUCUCCUAACUGCAAGGCAUGAAGAAUACCAAUAACUUUUUGGUAGAAGAAUGCACUGUUGUGGUUUUUUUUCUCUGCUUGUAAACUGUAAUUUUGGAAUAACUGCAUAAAUUUGGUACUACAGCCUUAUUUCACAUUGUAAGCUGUACUUGUUACUGCUACUUUUUUGAUGAUCUAAUUCUGCCAAGGCUCAUGAGAGCUUGCUGGAAGGAUACCCACCUUGCCUAAAUUAUUGUGCUCUACAGCAAUUUCGCGAAAGAAGAAAUACACGUAGUUCCCAUAUUCUAUGGCAUGGAGAAAGUGUGGCUCUGUAAUAAAGAGCAAGGAAAAAGUUACUUCAAAGAACUGUUCAGUCAGCAUACAACACUGGCUGCACUGUGCAACUCAGUGGCUUCUCCCAAAGGUCCAUACCAGCUAACAUUGCCUCCAUCCCUCCAGACACAUCAGGACGUCCAAAUAUGAGUGCACUCAUAUGAACCAUAAGGCUUUUAGUGUUGGCUAAUAGACUAUAAGAAGAAGCUUCAAAGGAACUGCAUUUCAGCUCAGGAGUCUGCUACAAACGUGGGUGAGAGCUGAAGGGAAGCAAGAACCCUCUAUGCGCACAGGCCAAUGUGACUGACACAGCAAGGCUGCCACUCCUUUCAGCACCAUUAGGCAGUGCCUGAUAAGGAAGCGCUGGGACAGGUAGGAGCCAGUAUGCGCAGGUGUGGGCAGUGAAGGUCUCAGCCCUGACAUGCAUGAGCACAUGAUGCCAGAGCUCCUUCACCCAGAGCAACUCCAGUGUUGGGUCCUCUAAGGUAUCCAGCUAACAGGUCCUGCCCCAAACAAUGCUGGCAUCAACCGCACUCCAGAAAGCAUCUCCUCUUCCCAUCAGUGCUCCCCAUGUGGAGUGUUGCCGUGUUGCACCUCGCUGGGCAUGGGUCUGCUGGCUCAAGCUGCUGGGCAAAGUGGCACUGCUCACAUCAAAGAGAAGGUAAAUGGCUGCUGGAAAAUGGGAGGGGAGAGGGAGACUAUCAGCUGGCAAGAAUCACCAUCAGAGCAUCCUAAGCACCACGCUGGUAUUAUCAGUAUGCCAGAGCAGCCAGCCAGCCCUGCCUACAAGAAUACUGACUCUAGAGACCAGUGAAGGGUUUUAGCCAGCCUUGGUUUUUCUGCAUGGACAAGUAUGAUAGCUGGCCACCCGGUUCCCUCUUUGUACAUGCAGAGCAUGUGCUUUGCCACUUUCCUGGUCACAAUCAAUUACGUGUACAAAUGCAGGCACGGAAAACCAGAGGAAGCCUGAGCUCAAAGUUACGAAUACUAUUAUCUUGUUAAGCAUUAAAGAUUAACUAACAACAGUCAAAGGAUGUGUUAUGAAACGUCUUUCCCAGGCUGAAAAGCAAAUAAAGGGAGAGUUUUGUGUUU